This 1852-nucleotide long non-coding RNA is filed under the name Populus trichocarpa (black cottonwood). RNAcentral describes it as "long non-coding RNA (PTRI_LNC001013)". The record is from RNAcentral. Lineage: Eukaryota; Viridiplantae; Streptophyta; Magnoliopsida; Malpighiales; Salicaceae.
AAGCCCAGCAGCCUCACAGGAGCCAUACAAGAUGUCGUAGCCAGCAGAUUCACAACAAGAUCAUCCACAAAUUCUUAGAUACAGACUAUAAAGUCUCAAAGCACAUAAUUAUCAGAGGAAAGAGGUCUCUUGAAUCUGAAAUUCACCAAAAGUCUUAAGCUCAAAGGAGGAUUUGAGGCAAAAAUUGGAUACUUCUUGGGUCCAAGAGGGUUUCAUGGCUGUUUAAUAAUCAUAGUUCAUAAAUUCUGUACUUCAUUACAUAGACACUGUGUUAUCUAUUAUUCCAUGAGAGUACUGUUUCCCGGUCUUGACUAUAAAACAAACUAUAUUAGGUUAGGCAUAUUGAAAUUCAUUCCUUUCGGAAGAUGAGCACAAGCAUACCUUGCAUAAUAACCGCCUUCCGGAUCAUUAUUUACAUCAUAAAACAAUCCGCGGAAGUAAACAAAAAUUGACCGCGGAGUGUCAAGGGGAAUCUGGUGGGCCUGCAUCUUUUGAGGAGGAGCAUACGGAGGAAUUGUAAUUGACCCCUCAUUCAAGCACACAUGGUUUCGCUGCCCAAAAGUUUGAACUAAAGUAGCACGCCGGAGUAGUGGAAGAAUGCCCCGCUCAAUGGCUUUCUCUUCCUACAGUAUUUGAGCGAAAAUAAACCAUGAUAAAUUAGUCACAGCUGGUACAAAUUGUUUGCUAGAUUAAUGCAAAUUAGAGGAUCAAAAAAUUCAUAUCACUGAGGUCUUGAUUUUAAAUGGUUCCAGCGGGGAAUCAGAUUACUAAACCCAUAAAACCUUUUUGACAUGUCUAUGAUGCAUGGAAGCAGAAACGAUUUAGAUGAGUAAUAAAAUCUUAAUUCUGUUGGCAUGUUCAGUUAAAACUGAUAAUGUCAUCGAGCUUCAUUUAUCAUAAGCAUUACCAAUCCCCCCUUAGGAGGAUUGAUAGCAUUGGGUGGAUUGGUGGCCGGCCUGUGUGGCCAGCAGGAGAGAGUCGGGUUUUACCCACCCAAAAAAACAAAAGAAAAGAGGUUGUAGCAGCAAGGGCGUAGAAAAAACUGCAAGCUACAGCCCUAUUUGAAACAACUGAGAGAAGCAUGGGGGACUGCCUGGAACAGUCACCCGGUAUAUGUAGAACAUGAGUGUUUAAAAGUUUUAAAGUUAAAUCUUCUUUUUUUCUUCUCCCCAUUUAGAGGUCCAAUAAUGAAUUAAGAAAUUUUAAAGGUGCCCGUUCUUGAGUUUAUAUUAGCAUUAACCAUGUUUUAUCAAGGCCCUUCGAGCACAAACUCACUAGUCAAAAUCUAAUCACCAUGAAACCAAAGCCACACUUAUCAAAAUCUCCAUACCUAACUAGGCUACCAAUGGCAACAUCUCAAUGAGACUACAGGAUCAGUGCCUAAGGAAACUGGGAAGUCACACUAAAAAGGACAGAAGAUGUUAACUUAAGCAUGUAUAAUGUAGCUCGAUGACAUCAGGAUACUUUUGUUCUUCCAAAAUGGGGCAAGAUAUGGUUACUAAGAAAGUGUGACCCAGCAGCAUUUAACAGUCCUACCUGAUAGUGGAAGCAGGCUCCAAAGUCAUGGGGCACAACAAAGAAGUGAUCAGCCCCUUCUGUACGAUUCCAGUAAGGCCAAUUGGAGGAGAGAAGCUGUAUUGCACUUCUCAUCAUCCUUGGAGAAUUGAAGGGCAACGGCAAGCCAGUAGGUGUGAGGUCACAAGUGGGGUAUAUAGGGGUAUAAAACCAAUCUGCUUCUUCUGGAUUAAGGGUUCGGACUGGGCUGGAUAAGAGAAAUCUAUGCAUGAAAAUUUCAGCAGCAAACAUAUGAUUGAGACAUCUGGGGUCCUUCUGCAGUAAUUUCUUGUUGUAU